RNAcentral lists this long non-coding RNA (7346 nucleotides) under Brassica napus (rape). RNAcentral's name for it is "long non-coding RNA (BNAP_LNC023278)". The record is from RNAcentral. Lineage: Eukaryota; Viridiplantae; Streptophyta; Magnoliopsida; Brassicales; Brassicaceae.
UGAAGUUGUAGCUCUUCUAUGAACUGUCUUGAAUAAUCCUGAAAAUAUGCAGAAUGUUUUAAAUGUAAGUACUAUAAAAGACUUAUUACUAUAAUUUGAUAGAAACAUUUUAUCUAAAUGUUUAAAAUCUGGAAUUUUACUUUGUUUUGGCUUAAACACUUGUAUUCUCAAGGUUCAGCGAUCGUCUUACAAUCCGAAGGAUCAUAUUAAACAUUAAUCAUCACAUUUACAACUAUAUGAUGAAAUAUAUAUAUCAAAAAAUUAUGAAAGCUAAAUUCGGAUUAAGCCAUACGUUUAUGGUUCAAGAGAUCAACUUAUACUCGAGGUAUUAUUGUGAUAAAUAAAUUCAUUUACUUAAGAAAUCUGUCAUAAUAUAAACUAAAACUGUUAGAUUGUGUUUAAACUAAAAUAUUAUUGUGAUCUACCAAGAUAUUAUACUACAUGUCAAUGUAGAGAAUCUUAACCAACGUAUAGGUUUAAUCAAUUUUGCUAAAUCAUCCCGCCUUUGCUUUCAAUAAAACAAUUCGAAAUUUUUAGUGGUUCAGAAAGGUUAACGAUAUCUUACAAUCACCAAAAUUCUCAGCAGUCAUUGAACAAGAAACCUAUCGCAAAGUUUUGUAAAUGUGAGAAAAUCAUUCCUAUGGUUGAUUUUACUUCAUUACACAAAUUUUUUUAUGUAGAAGCUUUUACACAGAGAGUUAUAUACAUAAUAAUAUACACAUGUAACUCUUCAUAUGCAGAGGAUGAAAAGAAAAUACUUAACUCCCCAUGGAGUUAGGGGUCAUCAGAAAAGUUCACAAUCUGAAUCUAAGCAAAGACGUCUUUCUUCCCAAACAAAACCUAUCCCUUUGAGUUCUGUUUUUGCAAAACUACUUAAUGAUGUUAGCAAAACAAGCAUUGCACCAAAGUCACAUGAAUAUGAAAAUUUUCCAAACAAACAAGAUAGUUUCUAUUCUAUACUAUACACAUUCGCUAAGAAUAUGCUAAGGAAUUUGUUUCAUUCAACUAAAAUCAGAGUGUUGUUAUUUUGUGUAGAUGUUUUUCACCAAAAAAAUAAUGUCAAGAGUAAUCACAGGACAAGAAGUCAACAGGUAGGAGAAGGUAUGUAUUGUAUACUGCCUGAUUUGCAGAUAUUAAACAUGUAGACUCAUUACGUGAGACACCUAUAACGUAGACCAUUAUAUAAACAUCUAAUAUUUUUUUAUACAUCCAUCACAACUGCGUACACUGGAUCAUGUCCCAGUCAACUCACAUUUGAAAGACAACACAGACAGAUUCCUAAAAUAUAUUCGCCAAACACCAAAAAAUGCCAAAAGAUUCAGGAAUGUCGAGAAAUCCUGAAUCAGAACUGCCUGUUUCAGAGAAUGAUCAAGAGACAUAAGGUAUUUUGUGAUAUUUCUUUUCAUGUAUUUCUCAUAUCAGGUCUGAUACUAAAACUGUUUAUAUAUUUUGCAUAUUUUCUAGGCACCAUGGAUGAAUGUGAUGAUCUAGAAUUUGAAUGUAGUAGUCAAGAAAGGUCUAAUACUGAUGAUUCAAACGAUGAACAGUUUACUGAGCUGGUACAAGAGAAAGAUAACCAGUCUAAACGAGUUAGUGUUCUGGCAGCUCUGUUUAAAAAAUCUUUCACUGAGGUGAAGCCAAAAGUCAAACCAACAUCACCCAAAGAAGAUGGUUAGUUUAAUUAGUCAAUUUAUUAUGAUCUUUUGGUAUAAUAUCUUUCCUAACAUUCUUGCAUCUAAUUAACCAGAUUAUGUUGAUGAGGGUGAUCCAACGGAAUCUUGUGGUUAUUGUGGAGCUAUCAUGUGGUAUGGUGAACGCAUAAGGAAGAGAGAAUAUAGAUGUAAACCUAUAUUUACAUUGUGUUGCAUGCAAGGUCAGGUCCAAUUGCCACUUUUAAAGAAACUUCCUGAUGUUCUAAUGAACCUCCUAACAGGAACUGAUAAGUUCGGUAAACAUUUUCAAAAGGAUACAAGACCAUAUAAUAUGAUUUUCUCAUUCACUUCUCUUGAUGGAAAAGUAGAGAAAUCUGUUAAAAAAGGACGAGGACCACAAAUGUUGGUGCUUCAUGGUGAAAACUAUCAUUUGAUGGGAAAUUUAACUCCACCUGAAGGAGACAAUGCCAAGUUUGGACAGCUAUACAUUGUUGACACAGACAAUGAAAUUGAAAACAGAUCUAACGCUCUUGGGUAACUAAUAUGGUCUUUCUUAUAAGUGAUGUUACGUUUAUUUAUAAGUGUUUUGUAUCAUUCUGAUGAGUUGAAAUUUUGUGUAUUUUUUCAGAGGACGCAAGAAUGCACAGUCAGAGAGAACAGAAUACGGGCUGAAGAAAGACAUUAUUCUACCUAUUAUGAAGAUAUUGAAUGCUGUUAAUCCAUAUGUAGCACAGUUUCGAUCAGCAAGUGAGAGAUUUCGAAUGGAUCCUGAGAAAACUUUCCAUAUGCAAAUUAUCAGUAGAAGUGACAAAGAUGGACGGACAUAUAAUAUGCCAACAGCAUCUGAAGUGGCUGCUUUGAUCCCUGGAGAUUUUAAUUUAGGAAUGGAUAAGCGGGAUAUUGUUCUACAACAUAAGUCUGGUCGGCUUACAAGGAUUGAUGAGAUUCAUAUUUCCUAUCUGGCGCUUCAAUAUCCUAUGCUAUUUGUGUAUGGAGAGGAUGGUUUCAGGGUUGGUAUUAAGAAGGGUCUCACAGAAGCUUCAAAGAAACUAAAAAAAGAUACAAUCAGUAUGAGGCAGUUUUUUGCUUUCCGGAUGCAAGAGCGUCCAAAUGAGUCUCAUGUUCUGCUCUAUUCAAGAAGGUUAUUUCAACAAUUCAUAGUGGAUGCCUAUACUACAAUCGAAAGCAACAGACUGAGGUAUUUGAAGCUUAACCAGACAUGCUUGCGUUCAGAUAGUUAUGACUCUAUCAAGAGUCUGAGAAUGCUGGCAAAUCAGACAUGAAUGAACAAGGUGAACAGUUCCUUCUACCAGCUACUUUCACAGGGGGUCCAAGAUACAUGAAGAAUAUGUACUUGGAUGCUAUGGCCAUUUGUAGACAUUUUGGUUUUCUAGACCUUUUCAUCACCUUUACAUGCAAUCUGAAAUGGCCUGAACUUACAAGAUUUCUUCAAAAGAGAGGCUUGAAUUCAGAUGACAGAUCGGAUAUUAUUUGUCGGAUCUUUAAGAUGAAACUCGAUUCUUUGAUGAAUGAUUUAACGAAGAAGAAUAUUUUGGGGAAGACAUCUUCAUGUAAGUUCUUUUCCAACUCUUUCUUAUUUUAUCAUUUUACUCUUAUACACUUACGAGAAUUCUAGGUUGUUGUUUAUAUUGUCUGGUUUGUUUGAAAAAAAAUAUUUUUUUGUUGUUUUCUUUUUUCAGCAAUGUAUACUGUUGAGUUUCAAAAAAGAGGGUUGCCACAUGCUCACAUUCUGCUUUUUAUGCAUCCUUCCUCCAAACUUUUAAAAACAUAAGACAUUGAUAAGAUCAUAUCAGCUGAGAUCCCAGAUAAGACAUCUGAUCCUGCUCUUUACAAUGUUGUUAAGGAUAUGAUGAUUCAUGGUCCAUGCGGAGCUGUUAAUAUGAAUUCACCAUGUACGGAAAAUGGAGUGUGCCAGAAGAGUUUUCCUAAACCUUUCGCUGAGAACACUACAGUGAAAAAAUAUGGAUUUCCGGUUUAUAGAAGACGUGAGCAAUCUGAUCGUUAUGUUGAGAAGAAUGAUUUGAAAUGUGAUAACAGAUGGGUCAUCCCUUACAACAAGAAACUCUCUCUUCGUUACCGAGCUCACAUCAAUGUAGAGUGGUGCAACCAAGUUGGUUCUAUUAAGUAUUUGUUUAAAUACAUUAAUAAAGGAGCAGACCGUGUUAUUGUUGUUGUCGAACCACCGGGGCCACCAGUAGCGAAUCAAACAGUAUCGAACCCAGAAUCAGUGUACUCAGCAUCACCGAAUUCAGCAUCAGCGAACUCAGCAUCAGCGAACACAGCUAUGGGGCAGGGUGGUGACGUUUUGAAACAAACUGUGCAGAUUAAAAACAAUGAAAUAAGAGAUUUCUUUGAUUCCAAGUGCAUUAUUUAUCUAAGCGGUAUAUAUUCAUAGAGUACACAUAUUUAUUAUGUUUUUAGUCUGAUAUUCUAACUUCUAUAUUUAUGAUUUUUGCAGAUAUGUUUCAACUUGUGAAGGUUCAUGGAGAAUUUUUAAAUUUCCAAUACAUUAUAGAUCUACAGCUGUUGAGAAGCUUACAUUCCACCUACCAGGGAAACAGAACAUUGUUUUCAACGGACAUGACAAAUUAAAGGACAUUGUCAGCCGCAAACUCAUUGAAAACACUAUAUUUCUGGCCUGAUUUGAUCUCUGCAAAGUUGAUGCUUUCGCACGCACUCUUUUAUAUGUUCAGAUUCCCAACUACUACACAUAUUCAAAGAGUCAGAAGAAGUUCAACAGAAGAAAACAAUGUUUCAGUGUUGGAAGAAUUAAUUAUACUCCACGUAAGCAGGACAGUUCUUACUUUUUGAGAGUGUUGUUGAACAUUGUCAGAGGUCCUACCAGCUAUGAAGAUUUUAAUACUUAUGAUGGUGUUCUUUAUGAGAGUUACAAAGAAGCAUGUUAUGCUCCUGGAUUAUUGGAUGAUGACCAGGAGUAUAUAAAUGAUCUGGUGAGGCGCAGUUAUGAUAGUUCUGCUGGGGUGGUUCGUGACCUGUUUGUUCUAAUGCUUCUGUCAAAUAGUUUGAGUCAACCAGAGGUGGUUUGGGCAUACACUUGGGAACUUUUAGCUGAAGAUGUAGAAUAUAAUCACAGAAUUCAACUCAGUCGGCCAUGUAUUAUUUCUAACAACUUAUGAUAGUAGUAACUAUAUUUUGACAUGUUAAACCGAGAUAUGUUAUUCUACAUUAGUUAGAUUAUUAAAGCAUCAUUUGAGAUUAUAUUUAAUCUGAUUGUACAUAGUCGUCAUUUUUUUUUUUAUAAUUUUUGCAGGACUUAUAUUAAGCGACAAUGACAAGAAACUAUAUGCUCUUAUAGAGAUUCAGAAGCUUAUGAAAAAGAAUGGGAGCUCACUUUCCUUAUAUGAAUCUAUGCCACAGCUUCCUGAAAACGCCAAACCGACGGAAAAUGUUUUGAUCUUGGAUGAACUAAACUAUGAUCUUGAAGAAAUGCAAGCUACUCAUGAUAGAAAUCUUCCAAAGAUGACUGAUGAGCAAAGGAAAAUCUAUGAUGAGAUUAUUGGUGCAGUUGUUCAAGAGAGAGGCGGGAUGUAUUUUGUUAAUGGGUUUGGUGGCACUGGAAAAACCUUUCUUUGUCAAUUUCUCUCAGCUGCAGUUAGGUGUAGGGGAGAUAUAGUGUUGAAUACUGCAUCUAGCGGAAUUGCUUCUCUGUUGUUGCAAGGUGGUAGGACUGCACAUUCCCGAUUUAGCAUUCCGAUCAAUCCAGAUGAGUUUACUACAUGUGCAUUGCCUCAUGGGUCAGAUAAAGCUAAUUUGACAAAGGAAGCAUCACUAAUUAUUUGGGAUGAAGCACCAAUGAUGAGCAAGCAUUCUUUUGAAUCUUUAGACAGGAGUUUAAAUGAUCUUAUGGGAAAGCACGAUAAAUUACCUUUUGGUGGAAAGGUUAUUGUGUUUGGAGGUGAUUUUCGACAGGUACUUCCUGUUAUUACUGGAGCUGGUAGGGCAGAGAUUGUGUUGGCUGCCAUGAAUUCAUCAUAUCUCUGGGAACAUUGCAAGGUUCUGAACCUAACUAAGAAUAUGAGAUUGUGUUCAAACAAUCUGACGGAUGCAGAGGCCAAAGAUCUGGAAGAAUUUUCUGAGUGGAUUUUAGCUGUUGGGGAUGGGAGAAUAUCAGAGCAUAAUGAUGGGGAGGCAUUAAUUGAUAUUCCAGAAGAGUUUCUAAUUAUGGAUCCAAAGGACCCUAUAGAAACUAUAAGUCGUUCCAUCUAUGGAGAUACUGAUUCAUUAAGAGGUAUGAAAGAUCCUAAGUUUUUCCAACAGAGACCAAUCUUAUGUCCAACAAAUGAAGAUGUUAACAUGAUUAAUGAUCAUAUGUUAGAUAAGCUUGAUGGUAAGUCAGUAAUUUUAUUUUAACACUUUCGUUUCAUUUGUAAAUAUGGACACUAAUUGGAAGUGUUUUUUUCCAUCAGGUGAAGAAAGAACUUAUAUUAGCUGUGACAGUAUUGAUCCAUCUGAUCUUACUUCAGCCAACAAUGCGGCUCUCAGUGGCGACUUUCUUAACAACAUUAAAGUUUCAGGACUACCAAACCAUAGUCUGAGAUUGAAGAUUGGAUGUCCUGUUAUGUUGCUUAGGAAUAGCAAUCCUACCGAAGGUUUAAUGAAUGGAAAAAGAUUGCAAAUAACUCAACUUUUGGAUCAUAUGGUGGAAGCUAGAAUCAUAACUGGAGAGAAGGUUGGUAAGACCGUUUAUAUUCCAAGAUUGUUGAUCACACCAACGGAUAAAAGACUUCCUUUCAAAAUGCGUAGAAGACAAUUGCCUUUGGCUGUGGCAUUUGCUAUAACCAUCAACAAAAGUCAAGGACAAUCACUUUCUGAAGUGGGAUUAUUUCUUCCUAGGCCAGUAUUUUCUCACGGACAGCUAUAUGUUGCCAUUUCAAGGGUAACAUAUAAGAAAGGUUUGAAAGUUUUGAUUAUGGAUAAAGAGGAGAAGCCGCAAAAGAAAACUAUGAAUGUUGUUUUCAAAGAGGUUUUCAAUAACCUUGAGAACAGAGAGGAGGAAUGAUAGUCCUUUUAAAGCUCAUGUUUUUCUUUGUUAGUGUGCGUUGUGAAACUUGUGUUUGGUAUUUCGAUUUUUUUAUGUUUUCAUGGACUACAUUUAUUUGAAGUUUUCUGAGUAAUUUAGUCAUAAAUAAAAGCAUGCGUUAACCUAUUGAUCCAAAAGCAAUAGCAGUAUAGUCAUUCAGCAAACAAAACUAUUCAAUACAAACCAAUCUAAAAUCUAAGACAUUACUUCCACAUAUAGAGCAAUAAACCGCGGGAGAACCAAAACCAGAUAUGCAAUAAACAUUCUUUUAAUAUAAACGACAGUCAAAAUCAAUCUUAAAUCUAAGCAUUUGUACAAUCCUAAAAUCGAUAGUCCUAUGAUGAUUCUAUAUUCCAGUGUCACGUUUGAUCAAGAAACAUAAUACAAGAUAGUACUAACCUUUGUGCUGCGAAAUUGGUUGUAAGUAACUGUCCCCAUGCUGUCUUUUUGAUUGCUCUUCUUUUCCAUCUUUAUCAAUGAUCUAAUUAAUAUAACGAAACAUGAGUUUGAUCUGUUAGAUUAUUGUGCCAACAACAAUUAAAAAGCAACAAUAAGAGAGAGUAUAAAGAAGAACAAGAUAAUAAAGAAGAACUAAAUUGUAUCAUAAACAGAGUCCACUGAGAAAACAGAGA